This 88-nucleotide non-coding RNA is filed under the name Paenibacillus ferrarius. RNAcentral's name for it is "c-di-GMP sequence". It matches the Rfam family "c-di-GMP-I riboswitch aptamer". From Rfam's summary of the family: GEMM was predicted in a large-scale screen for bacterial structured RNA regulatory elements. Lineage: Bacteria; Bacillati; Bacillota; Bacilli; Caryophanales; Paenibacillaceae. The record is from Rfam by way of RNAcentral.
CUCCGAUAAAGGCAAAUCUAGCGAAAACUAGAGACGCAAAGCUAAAGGGCCUUCCUUAGUAGAACUAAGUUGGCAGCCAGUUACCGAA